CCUGUGGAUGGUGGAUGCAGCUCUCCCAGUCAUCGUUCGUGAAUAGUUCACAUUCUUAGCUCUGUGAUUCUGUGUGUACCCAGGAACAUGGAUCGGGGCCACCAGUUGUUCGUUAUUCCUCCACUGCAGACGACCGAGUACCGCGAACACUUUGAACAGUCACCACUGUAGCACGAAAGUGUUGAUUGCAGAACCUUUGACGCAGUACAUGUACUCGUAAUGGGACGUAGCAGGUGGACUGGCUAUGACGCACCUUCGCAAUCUGGAGUGGAUAUGGUGGCUGAAGUGGAACUCGACUUCGUGACCAAGGCAAACUCGUCUAUAUUCAUCCGGACUACUGGUCGCAACUUCUCAGUGUGAGAUUCUGGACUUGCAUGUUCAUGCAGCAGAGUUGCACCCUUAUUCCAAGGUGCAUGUCCCUUCUUGAACUGUGUCUUUCGUCUUGUAUUGCCUUCCAUGGAUGUGACUCGUAGUGUAUAAAACAGUGAAAUACUUAUUGUGGUAUGCAUGUCCACCCUUA
Gigantopelta aegis is the source of this 520-nucleotide long non-coding RNA. RefSeq lists it as uncharacterized. The record is from RefSeq and is a predicted model, not a curated record. The transcript has 3 exons. NCBI's taxonomy places the organism in Eukaryota, Metazoa, Mollusca, Gastropoda, Neomphalida, Peltospiridae.